This 807-nucleotide ribosomal RNA is filed under the name uncultured Acidobacteriota bacterium. RNAcentral's name for it is "bacterial SSU rRNA". It matches the Rfam family "Bacterial small subunit ribosomal RNA", at positions 77 to 866 of the family's 1533-position model. The record is from RNAcentral. Lineage: Bacteria; Pseudomonadati; Acidobacteriota.
UAGCAAUACUAACUGAGUGGCGAACGGGUGAGUAACGCGUGGGUGACCUACCUUCGAGUGGGGGAUAACGUCCCGAAAGGGACGCUAAUACCGCAUGACAUCCUGUCCUUGAACGGAUGGAGAUCAAAGCUGGGGAUCGCAAGACCCGGCGCUUGAUGAGGGGCCCGCGUCCGAUUAGCUAGUUGGUGAGGUAACGGCCCACCAAGGCGACGAUCGGUAUCCGGCCUGAGAGGGCGGACGGACACACUGGGACUGAGACACGGCCCAGACUCCUACGGGAGGCAGCAGUGGGGAAUUGUUCGCAAUGGGCGCAAGCCUGACGACGCAAUGCCGCGUGGAGGAUGAAGGUCUUCGGAUUGUAAACUCCUGUUGCCAGGGACGAAUGGCUCCGACCUAAUACGUCGGAGAAUGACGGUACCUGGUGAGGAAGCCCCGGCUAACUCUGUGCCAGCAGCCGCGGUAAUACAGAGGGGGCGAGCGUUGUUCGGAAUUACUGGGCGUAAAGGGCGCGUAGGCGGCCUCUUAAGUCGAACGUGAAAUCCCCGGGCUCAACCCGGGAACUGCGUCCGAUACUGGGGGGCUUGAAUCCGGGAGAGGGAUGUGGAAUUCCAGGUGUAGCGGUGAAAUGCGUAGAUAUCUGGAGGAACACCGGUGGCGAAGGCGGCAUCCUGGACCGGUAUUGACGCUGAGGCGCGAAAGCUAGGGGAGCAAACGGGAUUAGAUACCCCGGUAGUCCUAGCCCUAAACGAUGAAUGCUUGGUGUGGCGGGUAUCGAUCCCUGCCGUGCCGAAGCUAACGCAUUAAGCA